Molecule: ribosomal RNA, 114 nt
Filed under: Microtus ochrogaster (prairie vole)
Lineage: Eukaryota; Metazoa; Chordata; Mammalia; Rodentia; Cricetidae
Source: RNAcentral
AGAUAGUGUGAUAUCAUUCUGGAAACGCCUGAUCUCCUCUACUAUCAGAAGCUAAGCAGGAUCAGGCCUGGUAAGUAUUUGGGAGAAAUAUCUUUAAAACCAAAUUUCUUUUUA